GAUGAACGCUGGCGGCGUGCCUAAUACAUGCAAGUCGAGCGAACAGACGAGGAGCUUGCUCCUCUGACGUUAGCGGCGGACGGGUGAGUAACACGUGGAUAACCUACCUAUGAGACUGGGAUAACUUCGGGAAACCGGAGCUAAUACCGGAUAAUAUAUUGAACCGCAUGGUUCAAUAGUGAAAGACGGUUUUGCUGUCACUUAUAGAUGGAUCCGCGCCGCAUGAGCUAGUUGGUAAGGUAACGGCUUACCAAGGCAACGAUGCGUAGCCGACCUGAGAGGGUGAUCGGCCACACUGGAACUGAGACACGGUCCAGACUCCUACGGGAGGCAGCAGUAGGGAAUCUUCCGCAAUGGGCGAAAGCCUGACGGAGCAACGCCGCGUGAGUGAUGGAGGUCUUCGGAUCGUAAAACUCUGUUAUUAGGGGAGAACAAAUGUGUAAGUAACUAUGCACGUCUUGACGGUACCUAGUCAGAAAGCCACGGCUAACUACGUG
This 497-nucleotide ribosomal RNA is filed under the name uncultured bacterium. RNAcentral describes it as "partial 16S ribosomal RNA". It matches the Rfam family "Bacterial small subunit ribosomal RNA", at positions 28 to 507 of the family's 1533-position model. The record is from RNAcentral.